Molecule: transfer RNA, 74 nt
Filed under: Merluccius polli (Benguela hake)
Lineage: Eukaryota; Metazoa; Chordata; Actinopteri; Gadiformes; Merlucciidae
Description: tRNA-Asp
Rfam family: tRNA
About the family: Transfer RNA (tRNA) molecules are approximately 80 nucleotides in length.
Source: RNAcentral
UUCUCGUUAGUAUAGUGGUCAGUAUCCCCCGCCUGUCCCGGGGGAGGACCGGGGUUCAAUUCCCCGACGGGGGA